AGAGUUUGAUCAUGGCUCAGGACAAACGCUGGCGGCGUGCCUAACACAUGCAAGUCGAGCGUGAAAGGACUUCGGUCUGAGUAAAGCGGCGAACGGGUGAGUAACACGUGGGCAACCUGCCUCAAGGACUGGGAUAACUCCGGGAAACCGGGGCUAAUACCGGGCGAUGUCGUCUCGCGCAAGCGGGCCGACCAAAUGGUAGCUUCGGCCUCCGCCUUGAGAUGGGCCCGCGUCCUAUCAGCUUGUUGGUGAGGUAACGGCUCACCAAGGCUACGACGGGUAGCUGGUCUGAGAGGAUGAUCAGCCACACUGGGACUGAGAUACGGCCCAGACUCCUACGGGAGGCAGCAGUGGGGAAUCUUGCGCAAUGGGCGAAAGCCUGACGCAGCAACGCCGCGUGAGCGAAGAAGGCCUUCGGGUUGUAAAGCUCUGUCAGGGGGAAAGAAGGCACCUGGGUUAAUAGCCCAAGGGCUGACGGUACCCCCAAAGGAAGCCACGGCUAACUACGUGCCAGCAGCCGCGGUAAUACGUAGGUGGCGAGCGUUGUCCGGAAUCAUUGGGCGUAAAGAGCGCGUAGGUGGCUUGUCAGGUCUGAUGUGAAAUCCUGGGGCUCAACCCCAGGCCUGCGUCGGAAACCGGCUUGCUCGAGUCUGGGAGAGGAGAGUGGAAUUCCUGGUGUAGCGGUGAAAUGCGUAGAUAUCAGGAGGAACACCGGUAGCGAAGGCGGCUCUCUGGAACAGUACUGACACUGAGGCGCGAAAGCUAGGGGAGCAAACAGGAUUAGAUACCCUGGUAGUCCUAGCCGUAAACGAUGGACACUAGGUGUCGGGGGUGUCGACUCCCCCGGGUGCCGAAGCUAACGCAUUAAGUGUCCCGCCUGGGGAGUACGGCCGCAAGGCUAAAACUCAAAGGAAUUG
This 917-nucleotide ribosomal RNA is filed under the name uncultured bacterium. RNAcentral's name for it is "bacterial SSU rRNA". It matches the Rfam family "Bacterial small subunit ribosomal RNA", at positions 8 to 912 of the family's 1533-position model. The record is from RNAcentral.